GAUGAACGCUGGCGGCGUGCCUAAUACAUGCAAGUCGAGCGAACAGACGAGGAGCUUGCUCCUCUGACGUUAGCGGCGGACGGGUGAGUAACACGUGGAUAACCUACCUAUAAGACUGGGAUAACUUCGGGAAACCGGAGCUAAUACCGGAUAAUAUAUUGAACCGCAUGGUUCAAUAGUGAAAGACGGUUUUGCUGUCACUUAUAGAUGGAUCCGCGCCGCAUUAGCUAGUUGGUAAGGUAACGGCUUACCAAGGCAACGAUGCGUAGCCGACCUGAGAGGGUGAUCGGCCACACUGGAACUGAGACACCGGCCAGACUCCUUCGGGAGGCAGCAGUAGGGAAUCUUCCGCGAUGGGCGAAAGCUUGACGGAGCAACGCCGCGUGAGUGAUGAAGGUCUUCGGAUCGUAAAACUCUGUUAUUAGGGAAGAACAAAUGUGUAAGUAACUAUGCACGUCUUGACGGUACCUAAUCAGAAAGCCACGGCUAACUACGUG
Molecule: ribosomal RNA, 497 nt
Filed under: uncultured bacterium
Lineage: Bacteria
Description: partial 16S ribosomal RNA
Rfam family: Bacterial small subunit ribosomal RNA
Source: RNAcentral